UGGGGGAUAUUGCACAAUGGGGGGAACCCUGAUGCAGCGACGCCGCGUGGGUGAAGAAGCGCCUCGGCGCGCAAAGCCCUGUCAGCAGGGAAGAAAAUGACGGUACCUGAAGAAGAAGCCCCGGCUAACUACGUGCC
Molecule: ribosomal RNA, 137 nt
Filed under: uncultured bacterium
Lineage: Bacteria
Description: partial 16S ribosomal RNA
Rfam family: Bacterial small subunit ribosomal RNA
Source: RNAcentral